This 76-nucleotide transfer RNA is filed under the name Bordetella sp. RNAcentral's name for it is "tRNA-Asn". It matches the Rfam family "tRNA". Rfam says of the family: Transfer RNA (tRNA) molecules are approximately 80 nucleotides in length. Their secondary structure includes four short double-helical elements and three loops (D, anti-codon, and T loops). Further hydrogen bonds mediate the characteristic L-shaped molecular structure. tRNAs have two regions of fundamental functional importance: the anti-codon, which is responsible for specific mRNA codon recognition, and the 3' end, to which the tRNAs corresponding amino acid is attached (by aminoacyl-tRNA synthetases). tRNAs cope with the degeneracy of the genetic code in two manners: having more than one tRNA (with a specific anti-codon) for a particular amino acid; and 'wobble' base-pairing, i.e. permitting non-standard base-pairing at the 3rd anti-codon position. Lineage: Bacteria; Pseudomonadati; Pseudomonadota; Betaproteobacteria; Burkholderiales; Alcaligenaceae. RNAcentral also lists the same sequence under 4 other names. The record is from RNAcentral.
UCCCCAAUAGCUCAGUCGGUAGAGCGCCGGACUGUUAAUCCGUAGGUCCCUGGUUCGAGCCCAGGUUGGGGAGCCA